Molecule: ribosomal RNA, 484 nt
Filed under: uncultured bacterium
Lineage: Bacteria
Description: partial 16S ribosomal RNA
Rfam family: Bacterial small subunit ribosomal RNA
Source: RNAcentral
AUUGAACGCUGGCGGCAGGCCUAACACAUGCAAGUCGAGCGGAUGAAGGGAGCUUGCUCCUGGAUUCAGCGGCGGACGGGUGAGUAAUGCCUAGGAAUCUGCCUGUUAGUGGGGGAUAACGUCCGGAAACGGGCGCUAAUACCGCAUACGUCCUGAGGGAGAAAGUGGGGGAUCUUCGGACCUCACGCUAUCAGAUGAGCCUAGGUCGGAUUAGCUAGUUGGUGGGGUAAAGGCCUACCAAGGCGACGAUCCGUAACUGGUCUGAGAGGAUGAUCAGUCACACUGGAACUGGGACACGGUCCAGACUCCUACGGGAGGCAGCAGUGGGGAAUAUUGGACAAUGGGCGAAAGCCUGAUCCAGCCAUGCCGCGUGUGUGAAGAAGGUCUUCGGAUUGUAAAGCACUUUAAGUUGGGAGGAAGGGCAGUAAGUUAAUACCUUGCUGUUUUGACGUUACCAAAAGAAUAAGUACCGGCUAACUUCGUG